RNAcentral lists this non-coding RNA (148 nucleotides) under Pan troglodytes (chimpanzee). The record is from Rfam by way of RNAcentral. Lineage: Eukaryota; Metazoa; Chordata; Mammalia; Primates; Hominidae.
GCCGGGCGUGGUGGCGGAUGCCUGUAAUCCCAGCUACUCAGGAGGCUGAGGCAGGAAAAUUGCUUGAACCCAGGAGGUGGAGGUUGCAGUGAGCCAAGAUCAUGCCACUGCAGUCCAGCCUGGGUGACAGAGCAAGAUUCCGUCUCAU